AUCACAUCUCAGACACACAUGGACUUUUUGCCACCUAAUUCGUUCGCCAAUCUAUCAACAUUUGGGCUAAUAUAUGAUUCCUCUGAACAUCAUCCAGCACCACCUGUUCUCUCUCACAGUGUUGGUCACACUGGAUGCAUCAGCACAGAUUCUGACAACUGGUCAAAGCUAUAUUCACAAUCUCCUGCUCUUUGCCAUUUCCUUUAAUUGAGGAAGACUCCAGCGUUCCAAAUGAGGCUGUUGUAAUCCUCAUUUCCCAGGUGAAGCCAGCUCACAGCAAUGUUCUCUGCAAGGACCCCCACUGUGAGGUACCCUAAAAGAAACGUGUCAAUCGU
Molecule: long non-coding RNA, 335 nt
Organism: Lacerta agilis (Sand lizard)
Lineage: Eukaryota; Metazoa; Chordata; Lepidosauria; Squamata; Lacertidae
Exons: 3
Source: RefSeq, a predicted model, not a curated record